GAACGCCCGUACGGGAGGGAUCCCAUCAGGGCAAGCGCACCUUGGGUUGCCUUGGGCUGCCUUGGGCUCGGAAGGUCAGCUAGGGCACCUCCUCAUGCCAUGGAGAUAGGAGAAGAAUAACACAUGGGGUUGGAAAAGUAGGAUGAAGAGGGAAAAAAGGUAAAAGUAAAAGGUAGAUUGGUUUUUUAAUUGAUUGGAUACCGUACCCUCAAUCCGCCGUGGCCCUU
RNAcentral lists this long non-coding RNA (227 nucleotides) under Setaria italica (foxtail millet). RNAcentral's name for it is "long non-coding RNA (SITA_LNC002894)". Lineage: Eukaryota; Viridiplantae; Streptophyta; Magnoliopsida; Poales; Poaceae. The record is from RNAcentral.